GCUGAAGGCACUGCUGGGAGCAGGAACCAAUGAACGUGAUUAGCUAAAGGGAGGGAUCAGCAAAUUGUUCAGGAAAGUGGUUUUGUCCAGUUAAAAAAGUAUUUUUUUCUGGUGAAAAGAAAAUAUUGGUGAAGCUGCUGGCAAAUUCUGCUGUUUUGCUGGGUUUGGAAGUGGCAGAAGAUAAAAGCCUAGCUAAGCUGUGCUGAGGAGUCCUGCAUUGACUCAUCUCUACUUCCUACCUGCAUGACUCCCUCUAUCCUAGGGCUCCAGCAAAGAGCUGAUGGCAUCUUGGAGCAUUUGCAAAGCUGCAGAAGACUGGAAAAGAGGCAAAUGUUAAAAGGAAGGAAAGGAAGAGCUGGUGUGGGCCACAUCAAAGUCAUUAAAAGGUGGAAUGAAAAGCCACCUGUUGGACUGUGCUGGGGAGAAGAAACUCAGGCAUGAAGCAGCAUCCCACAGGGGUUGGCCAAGAAUAAGUCACAUUGAAACAACCUAGUUUCUUUCUGUGCCUUGUUCCAGCCCCGCCCUAAGUCUGUGGCUUUUCCUGCUCCUGUUUACUGGUGUUUUCCACCGUUUCCCAAGGACAUGAGUGAUGUCACCAACCCCAGUGCUGGGGAGGUCUUCAUUGAAGUCCUGUUCCUAAGAAAUGUGGUGGCUUGAUCGCACAACUCUUGCCUCCCACUGACGUGGUGGUAGCCUUUUUUGAUGCGCUUUUCCCAAAUAAAGGGUCAUUUAAUUGCUCCUUCUUUGCUGAAUAAAUGUAAGA
Long non-coding RNA from Apus apus (common swift), 763 nucleotides. RefSeq lists it as uncharacterized. Lineage: Eukaryota; Metazoa; Chordata; Aves; Apodiformes; Apodidae. The transcript is spliced from 3 exons. The record is from RefSeq and is a predicted model, not a curated record.